ACUCCUACGGGAGGCAGCAGUGGGGAAUAUUGCACAAUGGGCGCAAGCCUGAUGCAGCCAUGCCGCGUGUGUGAAGAAGGCCUUCGGGUUGUAAAGCACUUUCAGUCGUGAGGAAGGUGGUAGUGUUAAUAGCACUAUCAUUUGACGUUAGCGACAGAAGAAGCACCGGCUAACUCCGUGCCAGCAGCCGCGGUAAUACGGAGGGUGCGAGCGUUAAUCGGAAUUACUGGGCGUAAAGCGCAUGCAGGUGGUUGUUAAGUCAGAUGUGAAAGCCCGGGGCUCAACCUCGGAAUAGCAUUUGAAACUGGCAGACUAGAGUACUGUAGAGGGGGUAGAAUUUCAGGUGUAGCGGUGAAAUGCGUAGAGAUCUGAAGGAUACCGGUGGCGAAGGCGGCCCCUGGACAGAUACUGACACUCAGAUGCGAAAGCGUGGGAGC
Molecule: ribosomal RNA, 437 nt
Filed under: uncultured bacterium
Lineage: Bacteria
Description: bacterial SSU rRNA
Rfam family: Bacterial small subunit ribosomal RNA
Source: RNAcentral